This is a non-coding RNA of Myodes glareolus (Bank vole), 354 nucleotides long. The record is from RefSeq and is a predicted model, not a curated record. NCBI's taxonomy places the organism in Eukaryota, Metazoa, Chordata, Mammalia, Rodentia, Cricetidae.
CUGGGAACUGGAAAGCAGCAGCUAGCACUGUCCCCUGGGUGACAGAGCUCCAAAGCCUCAGUGAAUGUAUGAGAGGGUUUCAUCUCUAGGACCCCAUAAAAUCAGAAGGCUGUGGGCCUGAGGUACCCCUGAAACCAAUAUCGGCAAAUAAAAGCUCCUACUGAGCGCAGACCGCGAGACCAGCAUCACUCUGCAUGGCGCAGCCUCUCAAACACCAGGAUGGAAAUGGAGGUGGAAGGAUAUACCAGCUAAGUUGCCAAGACUAGCCCAGGAGCCCAAUUCUGAUGACACCUGAACCAGAGCCGACAGCCUGCAUCUAGGUGGCGCUCGCCGCGCAGACCUGCAGUCCCGGCC